AGUGGUACAGGGCUGUGAUAUGGUUUGGAUGUCUGUCCCCUUCAAAUCUCAUGAUGAAAUGCGAUCCCUAAUAUUGGAGGUAGAGCCUGGUGGGACCUGACUGGAUCAUGGGGGCAGAUCCCCAGGAAAGGCUUAGCGCCACAUCGCCUAGGUGAUGAAUGAAAAUCAACUGGUCUUUGAAGAACUUUGAUUCAUUAGUGAGCUUGAAAACCCAACACAAUAAACAGAUAGUGGAAGUGGAAGGAGUAUCCCUAAGGAUGCAUUUAAGGAGAAAUGAUGUGACAGAAGAUUUGAAAGCAAAAAAGAAUCUAUCAGGAAGAUAAGAAAGCAAUUAUUAAACAAAAAUUAAGAAGCCAAUCGCCCUCCCAAGUUUCUACCCCUUGGUAACAUUACUGAUUCACACUAGUCAAAAGUGCUGAAUAAUUUGCUACAUGCCAUUGGAAAACUAUAUAACUUACUACUAAUAAAACACCUCACUUCUUUUUACUGUCUUUCUUCAUUUACCCAAGUCACCUCUUUUAAGAGCCAUCUUUGAUUUGCCUACAACACAUUCAUCUACACUGAUUGCUUGUACAAGAAAACAAUGCAACCCAGCAAUGUCAGAGACUGAAAGGUUGUCUUCUUGCUGUGUAAGAUUUACUGUGAAUAGAGGGAGGAUGUGGAAAAACGCUACAACCAUUGCUCCAGGGACUAUCUCUGCC
Molecule: long non-coding RNA, 701 nt
Filed under: Homo sapiens (human)
Lineage: Eukaryota; Metazoa; Chordata; Mammalia; Primates; Hominidae
Description: HSALNT0356745
Source: RNAcentral